Molecule: long non-coding RNA, 292 nt
Filed under: Mytilus galloprovincialis (Mediterranean mussel)
Lineage: Eukaryota; Metazoa; Mollusca; Bivalvia; Mytilida; Mytilidae
Source: RNAcentral
CUGGUAGAGCAUCAAUUAAGGAUAAAGAUGAAAUAUAUUGAUAGGUCAUGGACCUCCUUUUCGAGAUAUUUGAGAUUUGAAAUAUGGCGGGAAAAGGCUGACUCCGACUUUUACCUUAUAUUUGCAUUGAUAUUAUUUGGGUCUCAAAACAAAGAAAGAAAAUCAAGAAUCUUCUAAAAUUUUGGUAAAUGACCUUUCAUGAGCUAUUAAGUCUUAUAUGAAAAAAUAAAUGGGUGUUAUGGGCAAAAUAUUUUACAUUGUAUUGUAUGGAAAAACACCAAGGAGUCCGAAC